This 2380-nucleotide long non-coding RNA is filed under the name Trifolium pratense (red clover). RNAcentral describes it as "long non-coding RNA (TPRA_LNC002061)". Lineage: Eukaryota; Viridiplantae; Streptophyta; Magnoliopsida; Fabales; Fabaceae. The record is from RNAcentral.
UCUUUCGUUUGAUUCCAAUAGGACACAGCUUCUUUUAGAGUUUUCUCCAGGUUUCUAAGUUUGUAACUGAGUCCUUCGACCUUAUCUUUGGAUUGCUCUUCAAAGUGCCCCAUAGCUGCUUGCAGGGAAAGUAUUUGAGUUGUGAGGCACUUGAUACUUUCCUGAUUUUGCUUUUCACAUAUUGACAUCUCUUUUUUCUCUUCAUGUAAUUUGGCUAUCUCAUCUUGAACUUCCUUUAAGCUUUCAAGAGCACAUUCUAUUUCUUUUCUCAAAAGUGUAAUGGUAUCAUCUCUUUCACGGGCAUCCUUGCAAACAUUUCUUGGUUUAGGGCUGUUUUUGUCAUAUCCACUGUUGGCCAAUUUAAAGGAUAAGUCAGCCAUCUCAGCUAUUUGAUGAUGAGUUUCAGAAGUUGCCUGCAACAAUAACAAAUUAGCAACAUAUUGAUUAAAUACCAUUCGCAACACCCAUGAACAAAAUAACAUUAGCUAUAUUAAAUGAUCCAAAAGUACAUUUUAGAUUACCCUUGGUUCUCCAUUAUAAUCAAAUUGUUAGGUGUAUACAUCCAAUAUAUUUCUAUAUCAAGACUUCAGAAUGAAAAGAAAAGAAAAAAAAAACAAACAAGCAAAAUACUAAAUAAAAAAUCAUUCACAGACCACACCAAUGAAUAAAAUAAAUGUGGCAUGCAUUGGCCAUACUAAUCUAUUAAAAUAUAGCAUUAGCUUACCCUUGAUUCACCAAUAUCAUCGUUGUAUGACGUGCAUACAUCCAACAAAUUUCUAUUCUCAAGACAUUUGGAAUUAUCUGCAAAAGAGGCCAUGGAUGACCUGAUUGAGGAUACACCAUCUUGUAAUGUUAAUAGUUGCUCCCUUGUCUCUGAAAUAAUAUUCUUUUCAAUAUCUUCAACCUUUUGUUCCAAAGCAAAAGAGUGCUCUUUCUCCUCAGACAGCUUUUGCCAUAAAUUGUCACAUUUUUCCCGCAACUCAGCUAUCUGCCUCUCUGCUUGUUCAAGCGUAGUGGAUUGAUCAAUGAGAAGAGUAUCCUUCCUGACAUUAUUUUCUGCCAGUUCACCAAGCAAAUUAUUCUUGUGCUUUAGGUCAACAAGAUAACCACGAUUCACAUCUGACAGCCUAUUCACAACUACAAAAGCCACUGUUGCACAAUUUGAUGUUUUCUGGAUUCGAUCUUCAGCCAAUAUCAACUGCUCCUCCAACGAUUUCACAGAAGAUGUUUUUUCACUCAGUUGUGAAGUCAGCAGGAGAAUUUCUUUCUCUAUUUCUGCAUACUCCUUCUGGUGGGCUUCAGUCAUUACAAGUGUUGCACUUCGUAAGGAAUUCAGCAUAGACUCCAUAUCACUUCUUUUAUUGCUAGCAUCCUCCAAACAUCUUCCGAGUUCAUCAAUUAGUAGUUCCUUCUCAGAGAUUUUCCUAACCAUCAUGCCAACUUGUUCAGAAAUCCAUAUCCUUUUCUGUGGAAACGAAUUUCUUAUACGAUCAAGUUCAUCAGAGGCAACAUCUAGUGCCUGACAUCCAUCAGCAAGAAUCUCUUCAAUCUCAGAGGUUAACAAUUCCCAUUCUUCUGCCAUUGAUUUAAGUUCAUUAUCUCUAUGCCAAAGCUCUUCACUUAAACUUUGGUUAUCAUCAACAGCAGUAAGCAAUUUUUCUUGCAUGUCCUUCAGUUCAGCUUCCAUUUGCAAUAUCCGCUCUUUCAUUUCUAUUUCCUUCUGAUGGCUAUCAUUUACUUGAUGUUGUAGCUGAGCAAGUUCUUCCUGCAUACAGAGAAUCACCUCGGCAGUUUCAGCCUCAGCCUGCCGGCGAACUUCAUCCAUCUCUUCCUCAUUAGAUAUUUGGAGGGCACGAUCACUUUGGUAAAACAUGUUCAGUUGCUUGGCUUUUUCAAGAGAAUCAUGCAUCCUUCUGAAUCGUACCUGUAAAGGGUACUCAUUAUCAAUCUUCGGAUGAUUGGAAGAUAAACUGUCUCUUAAAUCUUUAGAUGCAAGUUGAUUCUUCAAAGCCAUGAUCUCAUGCUCUUGUUUAUUAACAAGUUCCAGAUAAUUGUUGUUCUUGUUCUGCAUGUCUUCUAUCUCUUUGAUUGAUAAAACCUGUUGAGAUUCCAAAGCUUCAAUUACAGAUUUUGUCACUUUCAGUUCAUUAUUUGCAUCUUCUAAUUGUUUGUUUGCCAGCAAAAGCUUGUCUUUUUCCAUUAGAAUUUCAUGAUUUAAGCAUGUUGCUCGCUCCUCCAAUAUACCACGGGAAAUCCUCUCUUCCUUCAGAAUGAUCUUUAUUAUAUCUAACUCCAGGUGCAAAUCCAAGAUAUCAUCCGUAUGUUUUAGCAAAUGAGGUUCAUGCUUCACCUUUGUGGCAUUUGUGUUGUUGGACAUUGA